GUUUCGUAGGUGACCUGCGGAAGGAUCAUUAUUGAAUUUUUUGGUGGUGGAUUGUUGCUGGCCUUUGGGUAUGUGCACAUCCUCCUCUGAUUCUAUUCAUCCACCUGUGCACUUUUUGUAGGAGUUCUUUCAUCAGGUUUUGAACAGGUGCUCAUUACGAGUUAACUUGGGAAGGACUAGUUGAAAAGACUUCUAUGUUCUUAUAAACUAUUGAAGUAUGUUAUAGAAUGAUUUUGUUAUUGGGACUUUAUUGACCCUUUAAACUUAAUACAACUUUCAGCAACGGAUCUCUUGGCUCUCCCAUCGAUGAAGAACGCAGCGAAAUGCGAUAAGUAAUGUGAAUUGCAGAAUUCAGUGAAUCAUCGAAUCUUUGAACGCACCUUGCGCCCUCUGGUAUUCCGGAGGGCAUGCCUGUUUGAGUGUCAUUAAAUUCUCAACUUUAUAAGUUUUUACUUAUUAAAGCUUGGAUAUUGGAGGUUUGCAGGCGUUUGUCAGCUCCUCUUAAAUUUAUUAGUGGAACCCUGUUUUGUUGGUUUUCAACCUUGGUGUGAUAAUUAUCUACAUUUUGGUUUGUAAAUCUUACAAUAAUAAAGCUCUAUUGGUUUGGGUUGUUGCAUUUUAGUAUGCUCAAUCUGUUCUACUCAUUGGAAGAAAAAGGGAAGGUCUGCUUUCUAACUGUCUUUAUUGACUAUAUAUAACUUAUUUGCUUGACCUCAAAUCAGGUAGGAUUACCCGCUGGAACUUAAGCAUUAUCA
Molecule: ribosomal RNA, 755 nt
Filed under: Lentinula edodes (shiitake mushroom)
Lineage: Eukaryota; Fungi; Basidiomycota; Agaricomycetes; Agaricales; Omphalotaceae
Description: eukaryotic LSU rRNA
Rfam family: 5.8S ribosomal RNA (bases 272-425)
Source: RNAcentral